AUGUCCUCAUCUUCUACAGUAUUGUGAGGUGUCCUCAUCUUCUACAGUAUUGUGAGGUGUCCUCAUCUUCUACAGUAUUGUGAGGUGUCCUCAUCUUCUACAGUAUUGUGAGGUGUCCUCAUCUUCUACAGUAUUGUGAGGUGUCCUCAUCUUCUACAGUAUUGUGAGGUGUCCUCAUCUUCUACAGU
This is a long non-coding RNA of Oncorhynchus tshawytscha (Chinook salmon), 188 nucleotides long. RefSeq lists it as uncharacterized. The record is from RefSeq and is a predicted model, not a curated record. The transcript is spliced from 3 exons. Lineage: Eukaryota; Metazoa; Chordata; Actinopteri; Salmoniformes; Salmonidae.